Molecule: ribosomal RNA, 477 nt
Filed under: uncultured organism
Description: partial 16S ribosomal RNA
Rfam family: Bacterial small subunit ribosomal RNA
Source: RNAcentral
GUACACUCCUGCGGGAGGCAGCAGUGGGGAAUAUUGCACAAUGGGCGCAAGCCUGAUGCAGCCAUGCCGCGUGUAUGAAGAAGGCCUUCGGGUUGUAAAGUACUUUCAGCGGGGAGGAAGGCGAUAAGGUUAAUAACCUUGUCGAUUGACGUUACCCGCAGAAGAAGCACCGGCUAACUCCGUGCCAGCAGCCGCGGUAAUACGGAGGGUGCAAGCGUUAAUCGGAAUUACUGGGCGUAAAGCGCACGCAGGCGGUCUGUCAAGUCGGAUGUGAAAUCCCCGGGCUCAACCUGGGAACUGCAUUCGAAACUGGCAGGCUAGAGUCUUGUAGAGGGGGGUAGAAUUCCAGGUGUAGCGGUGAAAUGCGUAGAGAUCUGGAGGAAUACCGGUGGCGAAGGCGGCCCCCUGGACAAAGACUGACGCUCAGGUGCGAAAGCGUGGGGAGCAAACAGGAUUAGAAACCCGAGUAGUCCCAUG